GACUUAUGUUGAAAAAUGAGCGGAUGAGCUGUGGAUCGGAGUGAAAGGCUAAUCAAGCCCGGAGAUAGCUGGUUCUCCUCGAAAGCUAUUUAGGUAGCGCCUCGCGUAUCACUGCCGGGGGUAGAGCACUGUUAUGGCUAGGGGGCCAUCCCGGCUUACCAACCCAUUGCAAACUCCGAAUACCGGCAAGUGCAAUCGCGGGAGACACACUACGGGUGCUAACGUCCGUGGUGGAAAGGGAAACAACCCAGACCGCCAGCUAAGGUCCCAAAAUUACAGCUCAGUGGGAAACGAUGUGGGAAGGCUUAGACAGCUAGGAGGUUGGCUUAGAAGCAGCCAUCCUUUAAAGAAAGCGUAAUAGCUCACUAGUCGAGUCGGCCUGCGCGGAAGAUAUAACGGGGCUCAAACUAUACACCGAAGCUACGGACGCAUGCUUGCAUGCGUGGUAGAGGAGCGUUCUGUAGGCCGUUGAAGGGAAAGCUGAGAGGCAUCCUGGAGGUAUCAGAAGUGCGAAUGCUGACAUGAGUAACGAUAAGGGGAGUGAAAAGCUCCCCCGCCGGAAGACCAAGGUUUCCUAUCCCAUGCUAAUCAGGGUAGGGUUAGUCGGCCCCUAAGGCGAGGCAGAAAUGCGUAGUCGAUGGGAAGCGGGUUAACAUUCCCGCACUUCUUAUUAUUGCGAUGGAGGGACGGAGUAGGCUAGGCCAUCAGGGCGUUGGUUGUCUCUGUUUAAGGUUGUAGGUCAGUAUCUUAGGUAAAUCCGGGAUACUCUCUUUAGUGAGGAGACUGAGAGCUGAUGACGAGUUCUGGCGAAAGCCAGAAUGAAGUGGUUGAUGCCAUGCUUCCAAGAAAAGCUUCUAAGCUUCAGGUAAUAAGAAACCGUACUCCAAACCGACACAGGUGGUCAGGUAGAGAAUACCAAGGCGCUUGAGACAACUCUGGUGAAGGAACUAGGCAAAAUGGCACCGUAACUUCGGGAGAAGGUGCGCUGUUGGCGGUGAUCGGACUUGCUCCGUAAGCUGUCGACAGCCGAAGUGACCAGGCCGCUGCGACUGUUUAUUAAAAACACAGCACUUUGCAAACACGUAAGUGGACGUAUAAGGUGUGACGCCUGCCCGGUGCCGGAAGGUUAAUUGAUGGGGUUAGUCUUCGGACGAAGCUCUUGAUCGAAGCCCCGGUAAACGGCGGCCGUAACUAUAACGGUCCUAAGGUAGCGAAAUUCCUUGUCGGGUAAGUUCCGACCUGCACGAAUGGCGUAACGACGGCGGCGCUGUCUCCACCAGAGGCUCAGUGAAAUUGAAUUUGCGGUGAAGAUGCCGUAUACCCGCACCUAGACGGAAAGACCCCGUGAACCUUUACUAUAU
Molecule: ribosomal RNA, 1361 nt
Filed under: marine metagenome
Description: bacterial LSU rRNA
Rfam family: Bacterial large subunit ribosomal RNA
Source: RNAcentral